AGAUUGAACGCUGGCGGCAUGCCUUACACAUGCAAGUCGAACGGCAGCACGGGAGCAAUCCUGGUGGCGAGUGGCGAACGGGUGAGUAAUAUAUCGGAACGUGCCCAGUCGUGGGGGAUAACGCAGCGAAAGCUGUGCUAAUACCGCAUACGAUCUAUGGAUGAAAGCGGGGGAUCGCAAGACCUCGCGCGAUUGGAGCGGCCGAUAUCAGAUUAGCUAGUUGGUAGGGGUAAAAGCCUACCAAGGCGACGAUCUGUAGCUGGUCUGAGAGGACGACCAGCCACACUGGAACUGAGACACGGUCCAGACGUCCUACGGGAGGCAGCAGGUGGGAAUUUUGGACAAGUGGGCG
RNAcentral lists this ribosomal RNA (352 nucleotides) under uncultured soil bacterium. RNAcentral describes it as "bacterial SSU rRNA". It matches the Rfam family "Bacterial small subunit ribosomal RNA", at positions 26 to 377 of the family's 1533-position model. The record is from RNAcentral.